RNAcentral lists this ribosomal RNA (425 nucleotides) under uncultured bacterium. Its description in RNAcentral is "partial 16S ribosomal RNA". It matches the Rfam family "Bacterial small subunit ribosomal RNA", at positions 354 to 796 of the family's 1533-position model. The record is from RNAcentral.
GUGGGGAAUAUUGGACAAUGGGCGCAAGCCUGAUCCAGCAAUGCCGCGUGGGUGAAGAAGGUCUUCGGAUCGUAAAGCCCUUUCGACAGGGACGAUGAUGAUGGUACCUGUAGAAGAAGCCCCGGCUAACUUCGUGCCAGCAGCCGCGGUAAUACGAAGGGGGCUAGCGUUACUCGGAAUUACUGGGCGUAAAGGGCGCGUAGGCGGCUCUGUUAGUCAGGCGUGAAAUUCCUGGGCUUAACCUGGGGACUGCGCUUGAUACUGCAGGGCUUGAGGCCGAGAGAGGGUGGUGGAAUUCCCAGUGUAGAGGUGAAAUUCGUAGAUAUUGGGAAGAACACCGGUGGCGAAGGCGACCACCUGGCUCGGUUCUGACGCUGAGGCGCGACAGCGUGGGGAGCAAACAGGAUUAGAUACCCGAGUAGUCC